Molecule: transfer RNA, 71 nt
Filed under: Ictidomys tridecemlineatus (thirteen-lined ground squirrel)
Lineage: Eukaryota; Metazoa; Chordata; Mammalia; Rodentia; Sciuridae
Description: Spermophilus tridecemlineatus (thirteen-lined ground squirrel) tRNA
Rfam family: tRNA
About the family: Transfer RNA (tRNA) molecules are approximately 80 nucleotides in length. Their secondary structure includes four short double-helical elements and three loops (D, anti-codon, and T loops). Further hydrogen bonds mediate the characteristic L-shaped molecular structure. tRNAs have two regions of fundamental functional importance: the anti-codon, which is responsible for specific mRNA codon recognition, and the 3' end, to which the tRNAs corresponding amino acid is attached (by aminoacyl-tRNA synthetases). tRNAs cope with the degeneracy of the genetic code in two manners: having more than one tRNA (with a specific anti-codon) for a particular amino acid; and 'wobble' base-pairing, i.e. permitting non-standard base-pairing at the 3rd anti-codon position.
Source: Rfam by way of RNAcentral
UGAGGUAUAGCUCAGUGGUAGGGCACCUACCUGGCAUGCAUGAAACCUGGGUUCUAUUCCCAGCACCACAG